Transfer RNA from Cavia porcellus (domestic guinea pig), 64 nucleotides. It matches the Rfam family "tRNA". Rfam says of the family: Transfer RNA (tRNA) molecules are approximately 80 nucleotides in length. The record is from Rfam. NCBI's taxonomy places the organism in Eukaryota, Metazoa, Chordata, Mammalia, Rodentia, Caviidae.
GGGGAUUUAGCUCAGCGGCAUAAGCGCCUGCCUUGCAAGCAGGCAGUCGUGAGUUCAAUCCCCA